CGUGCUGCGUGCUGGCUAUAGGUGAGGCCGAAUCUGCCCUGGGAGAUUUGUGAUAGCAGCUUAGUCGCUUCAACAUCCCCACAUGGAUCCAACUUUGGUGUGUCCUCCACAAGGUUUUCUUCCAAACUGUCUUUGCUGUGCUAACAGCAUGGAUCUGAGGGGGGCUUGAGCUGAUCCAAACAAACACUGGCCGGGUCAUGUCCAGAUCUUCAACCACCAACCAAAAAUCAAAUCCUAUCUUUGCCUUUUGGACCUCAACCAUUAACCCAAAGCAUUGGUAACUGACGGUUGGUUUGGGAAUGAGACUCAACAAUCGACCGUCUUUCUCCAGGAUUACUUUAAAAGUUACAUGGUGUGGCUAUAAUCUGACUGAGAGGAGAGUCACCCUCAUGAUGAAAGUGACAAGUGGCGCUGUGUAGUGGCAGAAGAGCAAGAGGAUCAUAGAGACGCACUGCUAUUCCCCCAGACUGACCACUUGGGUCACCCCC
Acanthopagrus latus (yellowfin seabream) is the source of this 488-nucleotide long non-coding RNA. RefSeq lists it as uncharacterized. NCBI's taxonomy places the organism in Eukaryota, Metazoa, Chordata, Actinopteri, Spariformes, Sparidae. The transcript is spliced from 3 exons. The record is from RefSeq and is a predicted model, not a curated record.